RNAcentral lists this ribosomal RNA (467 nucleotides) under uncultured bacterium. RNAcentral's name for it is "bacterial SSU rRNA". It matches the Rfam family "Bacterial small subunit ribosomal RNA", at positions 30 to 490 of the family's 1533-position model. The record is from RNAcentral.
AUUGAACGCUGGCGGCAGGCCUAACACAUGCAAGUCGAGCGGUAGAGAGGUGCUUGCAUCUCUUGAGAGCGGCGGACGGGUGAGUAAUGCCUAGGAAUCUGCCUAGUGGUGGGGGAUAACGUUCGGAAACGGACGCUAAUACCGCAUACGUCCUACGGGAGAAAGCGGGGGAUCUUCGGACCUCGCGCCAUUAGAUGAGCCUAGGUCGGAUUAGCUAGUUGGUGAGGUAAUGGCUCACCAAGGCGACGAUCCGUAACUGGUCUGAGAGGAUGAUCAGUCACACUGGAACUGAGACACGGUCCAGACUCCUACGGGAGGCAGCAGUGGGGAAUAUUGGACAAUGGGCGAAAGCCUGAUCCAGCCAUGCCGCGUGNGUGAAGAAGGUCUUCGGAUUGUAAAGCACUUUAAGUUGGGAGGAAGGGUAGUAACCUAAUACGUUGCUACUUUGACGUUACCGACAGAAUAAG